UUCCUACGGGAGGCAGCAGUGGGGAAUUUUUCGCGAUGGGGGAAACCCUGACGAAGCAACGCCGCGUGGAGGAUGAAGGCCCUCGGGUCGUAAACUCCUGUCGAUCGGGAAGAAGGCGUCCGACCUAAUACGUCGGUGCGUUGACUGUACCGGUGGAGGAAGCCACGGCUAACUCUGUGCCAGCAGCCGCGGUAAGACAGAGGUGGCAAGCGUUGUUCGGAAUUACUGGGCGUAAAGGGCGCGCAGGCGGUUCGUCAAGUCCCGUGUGAAAUCCCCCGGCUCAACUGGGGAACUGCGCGGGAAACUAGCGGGCUUGAGUUCGGGAGAGGGAAGCGGAAUUCCGGGUGUAGCGGUGAGAUGCGCAGAUAUCCGGAGGAACACCAGUGGCGAAGGCGGCUUCCUGGACCGACACUGACGCUGAGGCGCGAAAGCUAGGGGAGCGAACGGGAUUAGAUACCCCGGUAGUCCUAGCCCUAAACGUUGAGCACUGGGUGUAGGGGGUAUGAACCCCCCCUGUGCCGAAGCUAACGCAUUAAGUGCUCCGCCUGGGGAGUACGGUCGCAAGGCUGAAACUCAAAUGAAUUGACGGAA
This 591-nucleotide ribosomal RNA is filed under the name uncultured Acidobacteriota bacterium. RNAcentral describes it as "bacterial SSU rRNA". It matches the Rfam family "Bacterial small subunit ribosomal RNA", at positions 336 to 918 of the family's 1533-position model. The record is from RNAcentral. Lineage: Bacteria; Pseudomonadati; Acidobacteriota.